AACGAACGCUGGCGGCAUGCCUAACACAUGCAAGUCGAACGAAGCCUUCGGGCUUAGUGGCGCACGGGUGCGUAACGCGUGGGAAUCUGCCCUUGGGUUCGGAAUAACAGUUAGAAAUGACUGCUAACACCGGAUGAUGUCUUCGGACCAAAGAUUUAUCGCCCAAGGAUGAGCCCGCGUAGGAUUAGGUAGUUGGUGGGGUAAUGGCCCACCUAGCCGACGAUCCUUAGCUGGUCUGAGAGGAUGAUCAGCCACACUGGGACUGAGACACGGCCCAGACUCCUACGGGAGGCAGCAGUGGGGAAUAUUGGACAAUGGGCGAAAGCCUGAUCCAGCAAUGCCGCGUGAGUGAUGAAGGCCUUAGGGUUGUAAAGCUCUUUUACCAGGGAUGAUAAUGACAGUACCUGGAGAAUAAGCUCCGGCUAACUCCGUGCCAGCCGCCGCAGUAA
RNAcentral lists this ribosomal RNA (449 nucleotides) under uncultured bacterium. Its description in RNAcentral is "partial 16S ribosomal RNA". It matches the Rfam family "Bacterial small subunit ribosomal RNA", at positions 29 to 523 of the family's 1533-position model. The record is from RNAcentral.